Molecule: long non-coding RNA, 195 nt
Organism: Chionomys nivalis (European snow vole)
Lineage: Eukaryota; Metazoa; Chordata; Mammalia; Rodentia; Cricetidae
Exons: 3
Source: RefSeq, a predicted model, not a curated record
CAUGGAUCCGCCGCCAGAGAUAGAUGUGCUGAAUUUUACCUGGUUGACAAAAUCAAACAGUCCAUCAUACUCAGAUGCUUUAGGCAAAGCAAGAGAAAGAGAACUGAAGAAAAGCAAGUGUGUGGCUCUGGGAACGCUGCAGUUCAGAAGACUUUAAUGUAACGAACUUUCCACUCCCCACCCUCUGCUUAGGCA